UGAGGAAUAUUGGACAAUGGGCGCAAGCCUGAUCCAGCCAUGCCGCGUGCAGGAAGACGCAUCUAUGGUGUGUAAACUGCUUUUGUACGGGAAGAAACACCCCCUCGUGAGGGGGCUUGACGGUACCGUAAGAAUAAGGAUCGGCUAACUCCGUGCCAGCAGCCGCGGUAAUACGGAGGAUCCAAGCGUUAUCCGGAAUCAUUGGGUUUAAAGGGUCCGUAGGCGGUUUAAUAAGUCAGUGGUGAAAUCUGGUCGCUCAACGAUCAAACGGCCAUUGAUACUGUUAGACUUGAAUUAUUGUGAAGUAACUAGAAUAUGUAGUGUAGCGGUGAAAUGCUUAGAUAUUACAUGGAAUACCAAUUGCGAAGGCAGGUUACUAACAAUAUAUUGACGCUGAUGGACGAAAGCGUGGGGAGCGAACAG
This 423-nucleotide ribosomal RNA is filed under the name uncultured bacterium. RNAcentral describes it as "bacterial SSU rRNA". It matches the Rfam family "Bacterial small subunit ribosomal RNA", at positions 355 to 775 of the family's 1533-position model. The record is from RNAcentral.